This is a long non-coding RNA of Vespa mandarinia (Asian giant hornet), 574 nucleotides long. RefSeq lists it as uncharacterized. The record is from RefSeq and is a predicted model, not a curated record. NCBI's taxonomy places the organism in Eukaryota, Metazoa, Arthropoda, Insecta, Hymenoptera, Vespidae.
UCUAUCUCUCUCGAAUAGAGAGAGAGAGAGAGAGUGGGAGAGAUAUAUAUAUGUAUAUAUAUAUAUAUAGUUUCGAUACGAUGACAGCGACAAUGUAGAGAAUUAAUCCGAGUUUUCACCAUCCUGUGUGUAUAAGUAUAAAAAUAAUGAUAACCGAGUAAAAAGAGACAACGAUAAAGAAUGGAUGAUAUAAUAGCGCCGCUAAUUGGACCGAUCCAAAAGACCCAAUGAUUUUUCCAAUAUCCAUUCCAAAUGGCUGGUGCGAUUGAUCUGGCUGGAUUCAAGCUACAACCGGUGUAAGGAAUGAAAACGAAGCAAAGAACGGUGACACAAAAGCCAAAUCUCAGUGGUACUGAAUCAGAAUUUUUUUCAUUUCGUGGAUCCCAAACGCCACAUGCAAAGAAUACCAAUAUACCAGUUGCAAUGAUUUCGCUUAACAAUCCUUGAAAAACACUUAUAUUCUGAUGUAAAUCGGUUUUGCAGAAGGAAAUCGUAUCCUCUGGAUUUCCACCGUGUAACAUACCACUCGGUGUUAUUGCCUGAAAUUCAAAAUUUAUUUAAUGUUAUGCUUGAU